RNAcentral lists this ribosomal RNA (301 nucleotides) under uncultured bacterium. Its description in RNAcentral is "partial 16S ribosomal RNA". It matches the Rfam family "Bacterial small subunit ribosomal RNA", at positions 509 to 807 of the family's 1533-position model. The record is from RNAcentral.
CAGUAGCCGCGGGAAUACGUAGGUGGCAAGCGUUGUCCGGAAUUAUUGGGCGUAAAGGGCUCGCAGGCGGUUUCUUAAGUCUGAUGUGAAAGCCCCCGGCUCAACCGGGGAGGGUCAUUGGAAACUGGGAAACUUGAGUGCAGAAGAGGAGAGUGGAAUUCCACGUGUGGCGGUGAAAUGCGUAGAGAUGUGGAGGAACACCAGUGGCGAAGGCGACUCUCUGGUCUGUAACUGACGCUGAGGAGCGAAAGCGUGGGGAGCGAACAGGAUUAGAUACCCCGGUAGUCCCUGUCUCUUAUAC